This 230-nucleotide long non-coding RNA is filed under the name Lathyrus oleraceus (garden pea). Its description in RNAcentral is "Pisum sativum (pea) long non-coding RNA (PSAT_LNC023688)". The record is from RNAcentral. Lineage: Eukaryota; Viridiplantae; Streptophyta; Magnoliopsida; Fabales; Fabaceae.
UCAUCUAGUAUGCAAACAUCAACAACAAUUCAACAAGAAUUCACUCACUAAUUCCUCACCAUGGGAAUUAGCUACAGCCCCACAGGCUAUGCCAUGCAUGCUAAUCAUCUAGCAAUGCAGCAUCAACAACAACUCAAGAAUAGACAAUAUGCUCACACCAUAAGUCAUACAACAGUCUAUUCACAAUGCAUACAUAACUGAUACAUUUACAGCAUAAUGCACACCAUCAC